Molecule: ribosomal RNA, 445 nt
Filed under: uncultured bacterium
Lineage: Bacteria
Description: partial 16S ribosomal RNA
Rfam family: Bacterial small subunit ribosomal RNA
Source: RNAcentral
GUAGGGAAUAUUGGGCAAUGGAGGCAACUCUGACCCAGCCAUGCCGCGUGCAGGAUGACGGCCCUCUGGGUUGUAAACUGCUUUUAUACGGGAAGAAAAAAUACUACGUGUAGUAUACUGACGGUACCGUAAGAAUAAGGAUCGGCUAACUCCGUGCCAGCAGCCGCGGUAAUACGGAGGAUCCAAGCGUUGUCCGGAUUUAUUGGGUUUAAAGGGUGCGUAGGCGGAUCUUUAAGUCAUUGGGGAAAGCCUGCAGCUUAACUGUAGAAUGGCCAUUGAAACUGAAGAUCUUGAAUGUGGUUAAAGUAGGCGGAAUGUAUCAUGUAGCGGUGAAAUGCUUAGAUAUGAUACAGAACACCGAUAGCGAAGGCAGCUUGCUGAACCAUUAUUGACGCUGAGGCACGAAAGCGUGGGGAGCGAACAGGAUUAGAAACCCCAGUAGUCC